GGAGGGGUCGCAUAGCCCGGUCUAGUGCAGCCGUCUCGAAAGCGGCCAGGUGUCAAAAGCCUCGUGGGUUCGAAUCCCACCCCCUCCG
This 88-nucleotide transfer RNA is filed under the name Chloroflexia bacterium. RNAcentral's name for it is "tRNA-Ser". It matches the Rfam family "tRNA". Rfam says of the family: Transfer RNA (tRNA) molecules are approximately 80 nucleotides in length. Their secondary structure includes four short double-helical elements and three loops (D, anti-codon, and T loops). Lineage: Bacteria; Bacillati; Chloroflexota; Chloroflexia. The record is from RNAcentral.